RNAcentral lists this ribosomal RNA (858 nucleotides) under Penicillium miczynskii. RNAcentral describes it as "LSU rRNA". It matches the Rfam family "Eukaryotic large subunit ribosomal RNA", at positions 68 to 944 of the family's 3401-position model. The record is from RNAcentral. Lineage: Eukaryota; Fungi; Ascomycota; Eurotiomycetes; Eurotiales; Aspergillaceae.
ACCGGGAUUGCCCUAGUAACGGCGAGUGAAGCGGCAAGAGCUCAAAUUUGAAAGCUGGCCCCCUCGGGGUCCGCAUUGUAAUUUGUAGAGGAUGCUUCGGGAGCGGUCCCCAUCUAAGUGCCCUGGAACGGGCCGUCAUAGAGGGUGAGAAUCCCGUAUGGGAUGGGGUGCCCGCGCCCGUGUGAAGCUCCUUCGACGAGUCGAGUUGUUUGGGAAUGCAGCUCUAAUUGGGUGGUAAAUUUCAUCUAAAGCUAAAUAUUGGCCGGAGACCGAUAGCGCACAAGUAGAGUGAUCGAAAGAUGAAAAGCACUUUGAAAAGAGAGUUAAACAGCACGUGAAAUUGUUGAAAGGGAAGCGCUUGCGAUCAGACUCGCUCGCGGGGUUCAGCCGGCCUUCGGGCCGGUGUACUUCCCCGCGGGCGGGCCAGCGUCGGUUUGGGCGGCCGGUCAAAGGCCCCUGGAAUGUAACGCCUCUCGGGGCGUCUUAUAGCCAGGGGUGCCAUGCGGCCUGCCCGGACCGAGGAACGCGCUUCGGCUCGGACGCUGGCAUAAUGGUCGUAAGCGACCCGUCUUGAAACACGGACCAAGGAGUCUAACAUCUACGCGAGUGUUCGGGUGUCAAACCCGUGCGCGCAGUGAAAGCGAACGGAGGUGGGAACCCCUCGGGGUGCACCAUCGACCGAUCCUGAAGUCUUCGGAUGGAUUUGAGUAAGAGCGUAGCUGUUGGGACCCGAAAGAUGGUGAACUAUGCCUGAAUAGGGCGAAGCCAGAGGAAACUCUGGUGGAGGCUCGCAGCGGUUCUGACGUGCAAAUCGAUCGUCAAAUUUGGGUAUAGGGGCGAAAGACUAAUCGAACCAUC